GACGACGCUGGCGGCGUGCCUAAUACAUGCAAGUCGAACGAGUGGCGGACGGGUGCGUAAAACGUGGGAACCUACCCAUCAGAGGGGGAUAACCCUUGGCAACUGGUGCUAAUACCGCCUACGGAUGGAGCGACCCGCGGGGCAGUAGCCAGUUGGUGAGGUAACGGCUCACCAAGGCCACGAGGCUGAGCCGACCUGAUAGGGUGAUCGGCGACACUGUGACUGAGACACGGUCCAGACUCCGACGGGAGGCAGCAGUGGGGAAUAUUGCACAAUGGGCGCAAGCCUGAUGCAGCCAUGCCGCGGGUAUGAAGAAGGCCUUCGGGUUGUAAAGUACUUUCAGCGGGGAGGCGUUACCCGCAGAAGAAGCACCGGCUAACUCCGUGCCAGCAGCGGCGGUAAUAC
Molecule: ribosomal RNA, 405 nt
Filed under: uncultured bacterium
Lineage: Bacteria
Description: partial 16S ribosomal RNA
Rfam family: Bacterial small subunit ribosomal RNA
Source: RNAcentral